AGUGAACGCUGGCGGUAGGCCUAACACAUGCAAGUCGAACGGCAGCACAGUAAGAGCUUGCUCUUACGGGUGGCGAGUGGCGGACGGGUGAGGAAUACAUCGGAAUUUACUUUUUCGUGGGGGAUAACGUAGGGAAACUUACGCUAAUACCGCAUACGACCUACGGGUGAAAGCAGGGGAUCUUCGGACCUUGCGCGAUUGAAUGAGCCGAUGUCGGAUUAGCUAGUUGGCGGGGUAAAGGCCCACCAAGGCGACGAUCCGUAGCUGGUCUGAGAGGAUGAUCAGCCACACUGGAACUGAGACACGGUCCAGACUCCUACGGGAGGCAGCAGUGGGGAAUAUUGGACAAUGGGCGCAAGCCUGAUCCAGCCAUACCGCGUGGGUGAAGAAGGCCUUCGGGUUGUAAAGCCCUUUUGUUGGGAAAGAAAAGCAGCAGGUUAAUACCCCGCUGUUCUGACGGUACCCAAAGAAUAAGCACCAGCUAACUUCGUG
Molecule: ribosomal RNA, 492 nt
Filed under: uncultured bacterium
Lineage: Bacteria
Description: partial 16S ribosomal RNA
Rfam family: Bacterial small subunit ribosomal RNA
Source: RNAcentral